Molecule: unclassified non-coding RNA, 111 nt
Filed under: Flavobacterium noncentrifugens
Lineage: Bacteria; Pseudomonadati; Bacteroidota; Flavobacteriia; Flavobacteriales; Flavobacteriaceae
Description: Flavo-1 RNA
Source: RNAcentral
CCCUAGCCCUGAUAGAAACGAAAAUCCUUUUUAUUUUGUGAGGUACGAAUAAAUAAAAAGAUUGCUUCGCCAGUUCGCUUCGCUCGGGUGCAGUGGAUAGCAGGAAUAGCU